Molecule: ribosomal RNA, 454 nt
Filed under: uncultured bacterium
Lineage: Bacteria
Description: bacterial SSU rRNA
Rfam family: Bacterial small subunit ribosomal RNA
Source: RNAcentral
UGCGAACUCCUACGGGAGGCAGCAGUGGGGGAUCUUGCGCAAUGGGCGAAAGCCUGACGCAGCCAUGCCGCGUGUAUGAUGAAGGUCUUAGGAUUGUAAAAUACUUUCACCGGUGAAGAUAAUGACUGUAGCCGGAGAAGAAGCCCCGGCUAACUUCGUGCCAGCAGCCGCGGUAAUACGAAGGGGGCUAGCGUUGCUCGGAAUUACUGGGCGUAAAGGGAGCGUAGGCGGACAUUUAAGUCAGGGGUGAAAUCCCGGAGCUCAACUCCGGAACUGCCCUUGAUACUGGAUGUCUUGAGUGUGAGAGAGGUAUGUGGAACUCCGAGUGUAGAGGUGAAAUUCGUAGAUAUUCGGAAGAACACCUGUGGCGAAGGCGACAUACUGGCUCAUUACUGACGCUGAGGCUCGAAAGCGUGGGGAGCAAACAGGAUUAGAAACCCUGGUAGUCCAGAUG